RNAcentral lists this ribosomal RNA (486 nucleotides) under uncultured bacterium. Its description in RNAcentral is "partial 16S ribosomal RNA". It matches the Rfam family "Bacterial small subunit ribosomal RNA", at positions 29 to 507 of the family's 1533-position model. The record is from RNAcentral.
AUUGAACGCUGGCGGCAUGCCUUACACAUGCAAGUCGAACGGCAGCACGGGGGGUAACCCCUGGUGGCGAGUGGCGAACGGGUGAGUAAUAUAUCGGAACGUGUCCUGUAGCGGGGGAUAACCUAUCGAAAGAUGGACUAAUACCGCAUACGACCUACGGGUGAAAGCGGAGGACCGCAAGGCUUCGCACUAUAGGAGCGGCCGAUAUCGGAUUAGCUAGUUGGCGGGGUAACGGCCCACCAAGGCGACGAUCCGUAGCUGGUCUGAAAGGACGAUCAGCCACACUGGAACUGAGACACGGUCCAGACUCCUACGGGAGGCAGCAGUGGGGAAUUUUGGACAAUGGGCGCAAGCCUGAUCCAGCCAUGCCGCGUGAGUGAAGAAGGCCUUCGGGUUGUAAAGCUCUUUCGGCGGGGACGAAACGGUUCGUGCUAAUACCACGGACUACUGACGGUACCCGCAGAAGAAGCACCGGCUAACUACGUG